UUGACCUCGGAUCAGGAAGGGAUACCCGCUGAACUUAAGCAUAUCAAUAACGAGGAGGA
This 59-nucleotide ribosomal RNA is filed under the name Trichophyton rubrum. RNAcentral's name for it is "partial 28S ribosomal RNA". The record is from RNAcentral. Lineage: Eukaryota; Fungi; Ascomycota; Eurotiomycetes; Onygenales; Arthrodermataceae.